This 497-nucleotide ribosomal RNA is filed under the name uncultured bacterium. Its description in RNAcentral is "partial 16S ribosomal RNA". It matches the Rfam family "Bacterial small subunit ribosomal RNA", at positions 28 to 507 of the family's 1533-position model. The record is from RNAcentral.
GAUGAACGCUGGCGGCGUGCCUAAUACAUGCAAGUCGAGCGAACGGACGAGAAGCUUGCUUCUCUGAUGUUAGCGGCGGACGGGUGAGUAUCACGUGGAUAACCUACCUAUAAGACUGGGAUAACUUCGGGAAACCGGAGCUAAUACCGGAUAAUAUUUUGAACCGCAUGGUUCAAAAGUGAAAGACGGUCUUGCUGUCACUUAUAGAUGGAUCUGCGCUGCAUUAGCUAGUUGGUAAGGUAACGGCUUACCAAGGCAACGAUGCAUAGCCGACCUGAGAGGGUGAUCGGCCACACUGGAACUGAGACACGGUCCAGACUCCUACGGGAGGCAGCAGUAGGGAAUCUUCCGCAAUGGGCGAAAGCCUGACGGAGCAACGCCGCGUGAGUGAUGAAGGUCUUCGGAUCGUAAAACUCUGUUAUUAGGGAAGAACAUAUGUGUAAGUAACUGUGCACAUCUUGACGGUACCUAAUCAGAAAGCCACGGCUAACUACGUG